This is a long non-coding RNA of Daphnia pulicaria, 1181 nucleotides long. RefSeq lists it as uncharacterized. The transcript has 5 exons. NCBI's taxonomy places the organism in Eukaryota, Metazoa, Arthropoda, Branchiopoda, Diplostraca, Daphniidae. The record is from RefSeq and is a predicted model, not a curated record.
AGUCGGCAGUCGGCACAUAGCCACAUAGACAUAGGUCGGACUCGGAAGUUUAGCAAGGCUGUCUGGUUUUCCGUCACGUUUUAUUUUGUUAUUCGAGUGCUCAACCGUUGUAUCUGUGUUACGCUUGACUGUCCUGCCACCCUACAUGUAGUUGAAACAAAGCAGUCAAAUUAGGAAGCAAUUGAAACAGCCCAGGAUUCCCAGAUCACGUCAGUGCAAGAAGUGAGGCAUAGGCUGUUUUGCCUGCAUUGGAUAUUUAAUCCAAGUUUGAAAAAGAAGGAAUUUCUUCCAUGAAAUUUUAUUUUGUGCAUCUUUAUUGGAUCAGAUAUGGAACUAGAGUGAGCGUGUGAGACUGUGUACAUGCUGUGUACCUGAUGAAGUGAAUGAGAAUGUUCACUUAUACAAGGUAAACGUUACGAACGUUGCAAUUAGUGGGAUCAUACAUUAAAUUCGCCCACAAAAAGGAACCCUAAUGGAUAUGGUGGAUUGUAUCCUUUUUCAUAAUUCAUAUGUGUUAAUGAGGUUGCUAAAUCGUAAACUAUUAUUUUCAACGAAACCAACGCUUCACACCCCUUUUCCUAUCGCAAGGGAAAGUCCUCAAAUCCCCCACGAGAUGCCACUGCAGUUUAAUAACAACAAUGACUGCAAUGGUUAGUGCACAGUUAGUUGCAGUCUUUCACGUUUCGAUGUAGUAUAAAGUGAACUAUUAAACAUUUCAAAAAGUUUGUUAACCAGCAUAAUGUGGUAAAGCAGAUUAAGUGUGAAACCAACAUUAUAGUGAGAUCCUCGUGAAAGGAAAAUAGCAUGAUCCAGGCUGUUCUUCAAUUGCAAAGAAAGAGAAUUAUGAUUGAAACAAAUGCAAAAUAUCCAACUGGAAUUCUCUCCAUAUUUGUGGUAAUUUCGGAAAAUAUUCUUUCCAGAGAAUAACACCUUAAAAUAAAUAACUGUGGUUGUGAUAAUGUAGCAGUAUUGCUUGAAUCCGUCGCCACCUUUUCAUAGACUGACCCAUUGAAUGGUGAAACUGACGAGAGAAUGCUGUUAUUCAAGACUGCUAAAUUGUUUAGUUGUUAGAUAUAUUACAAGUGCAUAUCUGGGCUCCCUUCUUUUCUGUGGCCCCGUUUCCCUAACUAACCACUAACCAACGCCCGCCGGUGGUCACUCACCCGCUGUGAAACCAGGAG